UCUAUAAUCAACAUUUUUAAAUUUUAAUCACGAAAUUAACACUUGAAGUAAUCAGAAAACAUUACACUGUCCUGAGUUCUGACUCCACCCCAAAAUUGCUAAUUAGGAUUUAGGGUUCUUGCCUAAAUCGUUUUCUCUUCCAUUAACUGUCCCAAAGAACAGAAAAUUUUCAAGCUUCAAUCGCAUUUUCAUUGAAAUUCGCAAAAGUUCUUCAUAUUUUGAAUUAUGCCUCCUCUGAAGAAGAAAUCAAAAAAAUCGAAGAAGAAGAAUUUGAAGAAACUAAAUAACAACACCAAAAAAGUGAAUGUAGUUCCAAUUGAACCUAGACCCAUUGAAUCUGAUUGGUGGGAUAGUUUCUGCCACAAGAGUUCUUCUACCCCAGGUUUGACCAUACCUAGUGAUGAAGAGGAGGCAUUCAAGUAUUUCUUUAGGGUGUCGAAAAAGACUUUUGAGUAUAUAUGUUCAAUUGUAAGAGAGGACUUGAUAUCGAGGCCGCCCUCGGGGUUAAUCAACAUUGAGGGGAGGCUUUUAAGUGUUGAGAAACAAGUUGCAAUUGCAAUGAGGAGAUUGGCUUCAGGUGAUUCACAAGUUUCGGUGGGUGCUUCGUUUGGGGUCGGUCAGUCCACUGUUUCUCAGGUCACUUGGAGAUUUAUUGAGUCAUUGGAGGGUCGUGCUAAGAAACAUAUUAAGUGGCCUGAUCAGGACCGGCUGGAGGAGAUCAAAUUAAAGUUUCAAACUUUGUUUGGGUUGCCGAAUUGUUGUGGAGCGGUAGAUGCUACUCAUAUUCUUAUGACUCUUCCGGCUGUUCAAACUUCAGAUGACUGGUGUGACGAGGCCAAAAAUUAUAGCAUGUUGCUUCAGGGAAUUGUUGAUGACGAGAUGCGGUUUCUUGAUGUUGUUACUGGUUGGCCUGGGGCAAUGACGAUGUCUAGAUUUUUGAAGUGUUCUGGGUUUUACAAGAAGUGUGAAAAUGGUGAUCGAUUAAGUAAAACAUUGAGGUUAGAUGAUGUAGAGAUCAAAGAGUAUGUAGUUGGUGGAGUUCACUACCCUCUUCUUCCAUGGCUCAUAACCCCUUAUGAAAAUCAAGACUUUUCAGCCAUUAACUCAAGAUUUACUGCAGCACAUGAGACUGCGAGGUUACUUGCUGUGAGAGCUUUAUCACAUUUGAAGGGAAGUUGGAGAAUUCUUAGCAAGGUUAUGUGGAGGCCGGAUAAGAGCAAGCUGCCCAGUAUUAUCCUAGCCUGUUGUUUACUCCACAAUAUUAUGAUUGAUUGUGGUGAUAAGUUGCUAUCUGAUAUUAUUGUUCCUGGUCAUCAUGACUCUGGUUAUGAAGAGCAGUCCUGCAAGUCUAAUGAUAAUUCAGGGAGUUCCAUGAGAGAGAGUUUAGUUAAAUAUUUGCAGGCUAGAUAGAGGACACACUGAUUGCCAAUUGUUACCUAAUUUGCUACACCCCCACGAAGUGCGAUUCAGAGACGUGAAUCGAUACAUACAAGUGGUAUGCUUUAGGGCUAAUUUACCAAAUAUUAGUAGCGAAAUGCGUCUCCAUAUUCUACUCGUACAUGAACUAGAUAUCAAUAUGGGCUUGUGUGGAAGUCCCACUUCCCAAGAAGUGUGAAAUUGUUAAUGGAGCAACACCACCAAUGACAGCAAGGAAGAAAACUGCAAUGUGGCUGAUUGGAUCAUCAGAUCCUUGGGUUGCAUUAGCGGGUUUGUUUUUGGUUGUGCUGUUGGAAAGUACAUUACUGACCAAAACCACAUAUGGUUUAUGGAGACUUUUGGAAGAAAGAGGAGGCCGUGGACAGAGGUGAACAGAGAUGCAAAACUUGACUAUGCCUCAAUAAUGUCUUGAAUUUGAGUUUUUGAGGUUGUUUCGGCGACAUUCAAGCUGUAAACCUUGUAAAGAAUGAAGAAUAGAUUGAAACAGCUCUUGACACCCAUCAUCUCAACUUUUGAAGGGUAAUGUCGAGGCACCUAAAUUCAGCUUCAGAUGUUGUUGCAAUUUUGCAAAGUGGUGUUUGUUUCAGCACUAUCAAUCUUGAUUACAAACGUGAAUAAUGUGUAAGUAGAUUGUUAUGGAUACAUGUUUAAAGCAUUAUUGUGCAGCUUGUAUUGACUGACCACUGAUGUAUCUUCUAGUAAAGGGUAUGCUCUCUCUAACUUAUUGGCCCUGAACUUAUCUGAACUGAACUUAUGAACAUGAACUGAACUUAUUGAAUCUAAACUGAACUGAUUGAACCUGAAUUGAACUUAUUGAACUUGAACUGAAUUGAUUGAACCUGAACUGAACCGAUUGAACUUGAACUGAACUUCUUGGAAUUAGAAUUUCAUGAUUUUAGUAAGGGUUUUUUGUCCCAAACUACCUUUAACUUUUAUGUUUUUGCGAGUAACUACCUUAUAAAAAAAUUGUUGUCCCAAACUACCUUACUUUUACCAUUUUGUUGUUGACAACUACCUUAGGCCGAUUUCCGACGUUGACUUUUGUUUUUUCCGCUUUUUUAUUGUCACAUUAUAUCACUUGACCUCUUCAAACCCUUUUUUUAAUUUUUCCCACCCUAAUUUCCUCAUUUUCCGGUGUGCACGCGCUCUCUCCCUCAUAUCUAUGUGACACUUUGUACCACCAAUCCACCAUUAAAUUCCUCUUCUACUUAAACUAAAAUUGAAACAAUCACCCUCCUCAAUUCCCACAAGGGUAAUUUUGUUUUUCCCACAAUUUUGAACUGAAAAAACAAAAGUUAAUGCCGGAAACCGGCAUAAGGUAGCUGUCAACAACAAAAUUGUAAAGUAAGGUAGUUUAGGACAACAAUUUUUUUAUAAGGUAGUUUCUCGCAAAAACUUGAAAGUUAAAGGUAGUUUGGGACAAAAAAUCCUUUUAGUAACUCAAACUUUUAAACGCUUCAUUCAUUAACUAGAAUAUCUCAUUUUUGCCCUUUCUUUCAUAUGCUUUUUGGAUGGCCAUAAUUUGUGUGUGAAAAAUCAAUAUUCUUGGAGCAACUUUUCCUUGGCAGAUUCAACCAAAAAGAGAUUUCAACUUAUUCUCGUCAAUCAUAUUGAAAACAAAUAAGGAGCCAAUUAGGUGGUUUUGCCAUGACUAUAGAGCGUGAGUUCAGACUUCAGACAUGUUUGAUUUACUUCUAUUUAGCUAUAACAAUUAGGAGCCAAUUUUAGCUUUCAGUUAAUUGGUUGGUUGGUUUCUUUCCGUGCAAGGAGGAUUGAUUGAAUCAUCCAAAAUAUGGAGCGUGAAAUGUUAUUAGAUUUUUUUUCUAAGUUUUUGGGGGAUGAAGUGUUAUCGAUUAUAAUAAUACAAAUUUUAUCAUACAAUUGGGUCAGUGGGUGUACCGUGAAUGAAACAUGCACAUGGUAGUACCCGGGUAUUUGAUUAAUGAACUCUUAGAAUAGCUUAUGGUUGGCUCAGUUGGAAAAAAAAAAAUGAAACAUCCAAACUUUGUUUAUAAAAACCUCAAUUCAAUUGGGAAUAUAGUGCAAAUUACUACUUGUAUUAAUCCUUAAAUUUUGAAAAUAUUUGCUUUCAAAAAAAAAUUUUUUUUUUGAAAAUAUUUAGUAUUGGACAAAAGGUCUACUUUGUAUUUGAAUGAAGAUAUAAAAAAGAGUGUUUCCGAAUAUUUUACAAUUGAUCUAAGUCGAACCAAAUCAAUUCCUCCGAAGUGCUUAAGUGCCUAAUUUUAGUACUCCUUUCAGGUUUGUUUUAGAUUGUUUCCUUUUCUCGUUGAAAGACUUGGAGGCCAAGUAAUAGAGCUUAAGUAUUUUUCCCCAUUGUGUUUUUUUUCCAUAACCUAAUUGGAGUAGGAAAUACCGAAAUAAUUAUUAGUUAAAACCUAUAAAAGAGAGUCAUUAAAAAAUAAAAAAGGGAGUUAUAAUUUAGAAAAUUUAGUGUUCUUUGCUGAACUACAUUUAUUAAGUCGAUUUUUACAUACUCUUCUCAGAUCCUAUAUCGUACGUACUCCACGCAUCAACAGAUCAUAAAUUUCAGAUCUUUCUCCUACAAUAUAUCCAAUUAUCCACAAAUCUUACCCUUUACUCUAGAAAAUAACUUAUGCAACUACUGUUUGACUCAAUUUCCCCAAAAUCAUACCUUUAUUUGCCGGGUCGUAAAUAGAGGGUUGUAUUGACACGUAACGUAACUGUUGUAUAAGAAUUCGGUACUCCCUUACAUCAUCUUUACUCUAUCAUCUUUGCUAAAAGAUGGGAAAUUUGAGUUCAUGCUUGAAAACUGAAAAAUUACCAAAGUCAAAAAACAUGGCAAAGUUAGUUGAUUCACAAGGGAAACUAAGACUAGUGAACCUUCCUACAACAGUAGCUGAGUUAAUGCUAUUGCUUGGAACUCCCUGUUUAGCCCUCACUUCGUUGGACGAACUCCGGAGAACUCGCCGUAUUGUGGCGAUGAGUGAUGAUGCCUGUUUAAUUGGCCGGAAUGUUUACUUAUUGAUACCAAUUGACAAAGUUAACUCUAGGUUGUCUGACUUGCAAGUGGCUGCUUUGGAUAAACUAGUGAUAUAUUUGUACUAUGAUGAGAUGAUGGGUCGGACACAUGGAUGUUUUAAGGCUUCUCUUGAUUUGGGGAGUACUACUGGUUUAGCUGGUCGAAGUUUGGAGGACUUCAUGAAGAACUUGGGUGGGGAGAGUACUAAUGGUGCAAUCGGUCCAAGAAUCAAAUUUCGCAAGACUUGGCAACCGGUUCUUGAACCCAUCUUGGAAGAAGAAUGCUACGAUUAAAACAACGAAGAAUUAAAGAACAAUCGAUACAAGGAUUUAACGUGGUUGUCCACACAGCAGGGAGAAUCAGAGGUUAAUAUUAGGACAUAGCGAGACUCAUGUUUGGUUAAUCCUAGCGCUAGAUAAUUAAUUCAAGACAUAGUUUAACAGAAGUGAUAAACAUGCAAUUUUUGCAGCUGAUACUAUUUAUCUUGUCCAAAUUUAUUCAUGUCUGUUUCUGAUACUAUGUGUUUCUUUUGAAUGUACUGAUAUGUAUCUUAACAAUCCUUUUGAGCUGGAUUUAUAUUAUUUAUGUACAAACUAUGUAAAAGCUAGCAA
Molecule: RNA transcript, 5049 nt
Organism: Beta vulgaris subsp. vulgaris (sugar beet)
Lineage: Eukaryota; Viridiplantae; Streptophyta; Magnoliopsida; Caryophyllales; Amaranthaceae
Gene name: protein ANTAGONIST OF LIKE HETEROCHROMATIN PROTEIN 1
Exons: 5
Source: RefSeq, a predicted model, not a curated record